This 292-nucleotide ribosomal RNA is filed under the name uncultured bacterium. RNAcentral describes it as "partial 16S ribosomal RNA". It matches the Rfam family "Bacterial small subunit ribosomal RNA", at positions 505 to 796 of the family's 1533-position model. The record is from RNAcentral.
GUGUCAGCAGCCGCGGUAAUACGAAGGGGGCUAGCGUUGUUCGGAAUCACUGGGCGUAAAGCGUACGUAGGCGGAUCGUUAAGUCAGGGGUGAAAGCCUGGAGCUCAACUCCAGAACUGCCUUUGAUACUGGCGAUCUUGAGACCGGGAGAGGUGAGUGGAACUGCUAGUGUAGAGGUGAAAUUCGUAGAUAUUAGCAAGAACACCAGUGGCGAAGGCGGCUCACUGGCCCGGUACUGACGCUGAGGUACGAAAGCGUGGGGAGCAAACAGGAUUAGAUACCCUUGUAGUCC